Molecule: non-coding RNA, 221 nt
Organism: Pelobates cultripes (western spadefoot toad)
Lineage: Eukaryota; Metazoa; Chordata; Amphibia; Anura; Pelobatidae
Source: the annotation of a GenBank genome assembly
GUGUAAGCUCAGAUACCACAUCAAGGCAAAAUCUCUUAGGUGAGUCCUACACUAACAAUUCAUCUUGCUGUAUUCAGCAAAAAGACAAAAUUUGUAAUGAGACAGAGAAGGGUACUUUUCUAAACGCCCAGACACGUAUUAAACCUUAAACUAAGCGAAAGAAGGAGUAGGGAAGGUGAACAAACCCCCCACUGGUCCCUCAGAAAAGAAGGUUACAGGAG